Molecule: long non-coding RNA, 1369 nt
Organism: Erpetoichthys calabaricus (reedfish)
Lineage: Eukaryota; Metazoa; Chordata; Cladistia; Polypteriformes; Polypteridae
Exons: 2
Source: RefSeq, a predicted model, not a curated record
AAGAGCAUUCACUGAAAGAUGCAGGGGUGGGGGGUUAGUGGCCACAUGGUUGAGCGUGAACCUACUCUGGGGUUAGGAUGUGAAGCCUGCUUUGCCAUGACGACUAUCUCCCUCACAAACACACCCUGUUUACUGGUUACUGAGCUGCUGGGCCUGUGAAGUUAAAAUUAAACUGCAGAUUCCUUCAGGCCAGUGAGAGGAGUGGCCAGCAGUCAGGACACGGGUCUGGCUCACCAGUGCCCAGCUGGUUGUCAUGGCUACCUUGGGCCCUCCUCAGUAAACAGCUCAAAAGUGGAGUUAUUUAGCACAAGUCCAGGAAACACUUAGAGGACUGAGCUGAGACGUCGGCAUGGGUUGCAACUCCAGCAAGAGCACCUCUGUGGUGGACCCCUCUAACAAACCAACUGAGAACCCCCCGGGUGAAAGUGUGACCGAGGAGCAGGAGAUGGAUCAGAGUCCCAAAUCUUCAGCUGAACAGGGGGACACGUCUGUGACGACGGAGGUGGCUGUCAGCUGAAGGCAGAAACCUCCUUGCCAGCCCCCCCUACCCCACCUCACCCCACCGUACCUGCUUAUGGAGCUGGAUGUCAUAGCUGGAACCAACUCCUUCUUGCUAUUCAUGGCUACUUUAUUGUGGGCCUGUCACUAAGCUGGACCAUGGGAGGAGGCCUGAUGGGUGCGGGACAACCACACGUACUGUUCUUCUAGAAGCUUCUGCUGAUGUUCAGGUGCUAAAUACAGAAGUCGUCCAACCUUAUCAAUGAUGGCAUUUAAUGACAGUAGCCUGAUUAUUUCCUCUGGUUCCUCAAGAAGCCUCUUCUACCAACUAUUUGGCUCACUUCAGUUCUAGUUGAUAUAAUUUGCUUCAUAAUCUCAAAGAAUGAAGAUCUUUAAAACCUGGCCAUGUCAUCUGAUAAGAAAUUUGGUGUGUUUUUACAGCUGCUGUGUGGUGGCCCCCACUACAAAAUCACUGCAUGUCUCCAUCUGCCAUGCUGCAGCAGAAUGGGAUGAGCCCACAGAUCCCAAUGACUGCUGACUUUCCUCACUGUGGUGGGCAUGGAGACUCUUCCUGUGCAGCCUGAUCCAAUGCUUAUCAUGGAAGUCAUCACAUCAGCCAAGGAUUGGACUGGGGGGCACCACAGCUGGUGUGAAACUGAUGGGGGUGGGGGUGGGGGGGGUCGCGGAAGGAUCUGAUUUACCCCAGAAUAGGAUGGUGGGGCUGGGUAGUAGGCUUAUUUUUGUAUUUAUGUUUAAAUACUUGUGGUAAUUCUUCAAUUUCUGAAUACACACACACACACACAAAUGUACAAUGUGCACAAACGAAUCUGACGUGUAACUUUUCUCCAAAUAAACGCAGCCUGUGAUUGUC